UUUUUCCUGUACCAGCUUCACGUUUGUCAGAAACACUUCAGAACAAUUCAGGAUUAACACCCUGGUGGAGUUUGAGCUUCUUUGUUGCUGCCCAACUUACACAUGGAUUUGACGCAGCCAGCUGAGGGCUCUAAUUCUUGUUGAUCAUGUAUGUUCGUGUAGUUGCUGUCCGAUGUGGCACGUUGUUGCAGCCUAUGAUGGUGAAAGAUCUUUCUACAUCAAGUUCAAUUGGCCGUUCCUUGGUGCUGAUGUUGUGUUACCGAAGUUGCAUCAUAUUUUGUUAA
This 284-nucleotide long non-coding RNA is filed under the name Daphnia pulex (common water flea). Its description in RNAcentral is "uncharacterized LOC124196296, transcript variant X1". Lineage: Eukaryota; Metazoa; Arthropoda; Branchiopoda; Diplostraca; Daphniidae. The record is from RNAcentral.